This 67-nucleotide transfer RNA is filed under the name Scarabaeidae sp. BMNH 1274752. RNAcentral describes it as "tRNA-Trp". Lineage: Eukaryota; Metazoa; Arthropoda; Insecta; Coleoptera; Scarabaeidae. The record is from RNAcentral.
AAGGAUUUAAGUUAAUUUAAACUAGGAACCUUCAAAGUUUCCAAUAAAGUUAAUUCUUUAAGCCUUA